Molecule: long non-coding RNA, 350 nt
Organism: Perognathus longimembris pacificus (Pacific pocket mouse)
Lineage: Eukaryota; Metazoa; Chordata; Mammalia; Rodentia; Heteromyidae
Exons: 4
Source: RefSeq, a predicted model, not a curated record
CAGAGCCCAGAUACCCAGCAAAGGACUACUUGUGAGGAAGCUGGCCACAGUCAGAGGUGCAGACUGCUUGAGGACUCAAAGGGCAUUUGCUCUCUCCCAUUCUGGGCAGGCAGCAGGCUCUCCUGAAAGUUCCAGAACUCUGACCUUGCCAGCUGCUUCCUGUCCACAUUGAGGAAAGUGGAUUAAUGCCCCUGUUGCAGAGUGUUGGUGGGCCUGGGCCUUCUGAGAAGGAUCACUUGCACACUGCACAGAACCCCUUUUGUUGAUGGAGUAGGAGCCCCUCAUCAAUCCUCAGUUCUGUGGGGACGGGUCCCUACCCCUAACAUCCUGACACCCAGCCUCUUUCCUCC